AGAGUUGAGUCCUGGCUUAGGAUGAACGCUAGCUACAGGCUAACACAUGCAAGUCAGGGGCAGCAUGAUCAAAGCUUGCUUGGUGAUGGCGACCGGCGCACGGGUGAGUAACGCGUAUCCAACUUCCCCUUAGUAGGGCAUAGCCCGUAGAAAUGCGGAUUAAUACCCUAUGUUGUUCGUAGAGGACAUCUGAAAUGAACCAAAGGUUUACCGCUAAGGGAUGGGGAUGCGUCUGAUUAGGUAGUCGGCGGGGUAACGGCCCACCGAGCCCUCGAUCAGUAGGGUUCUGAGAGGAAGGUCCCCCACAUUGGAACUGAGACACGGUCCAAACUCCUACGGGAGGCAGCAGUGAGGAAUAUUGGUCAAUGGACGAGAGUCUGAACCAGCCAAGUAGCCGUGCAGGAUGACGGCCCUAUGGGUUGUAAACUGCUUUUAUACAGGGAUAAAGUUGGGAACGUGUUCCCUUUUGCAGGUACUGUAUGAAUAAGGACCGGCUAAUUCCGUGCCAGCCGCCGC
Molecule: ribosomal RNA, 516 nt
Filed under: uncultured bacterium
Lineage: Bacteria
Description: bacterial SSU rRNA
Rfam family: Bacterial small subunit ribosomal RNA
Source: RNAcentral